RNAcentral lists this ribosomal RNA (253 nucleotides) under uncultured bacterium. RNAcentral's name for it is "partial 16S ribosomal RNA". It matches the Rfam family "Bacterial small subunit ribosomal RNA", at positions 524 to 776 of the family's 1533-position model. The record is from RNAcentral.
UACGAACCGUACAAACGUUAUUCGGAAUCACUGGGCUUAAAGGGUGCGUAGGCGGCCACGUAAGUGAGAUGUGAAAUCCCUCGGCUCAACCGAGGAAGUGCAUUUCAUACUGCAUGGCUUGAGGGAGACAGGGGUAAGCGGAACUGAUGGUGGAGCGGUGAAAUGCGUUGAUAUCAUCAGGAACACCGGUGGCGAAAGCGGCUUACUGGGUCUCUUCUGACGCUGAGGUACGAAAGCUAGGGGAGCGAACGGG